Molecule: ribosomal RNA, 505 nt
Filed under: uncultured bacterium
Lineage: Bacteria
Description: partial 16S ribosomal RNA
Rfam family: Bacterial small subunit ribosomal RNA
Source: RNAcentral
GACGAACGCUGGCGGCGUGCUUAACACAUGCAAGUCGAACGGUGAAGGGACUGGUUUUGCUGGUCCUGGAUGAGUGGCGAACGGGUGAGUAACACGUGAGUAACCUGCCCCCUUCUUCUGGAUAACCGCAUGAAAGUGUGGCUAAUACGGGAUAUUCUGGGUCUGUCGCAUGGUGGGCCUGGGAAAGAUUGCGCCUUUUUUGGUGUUUUUGGUGGGGGAUGGGCUCGCGGCCUAUCAGCUUGUUGGUGGGGUGAUGGCCUACCAAGGCGGUGACGGGUAGCCGGCCUGAGAGGGUGGACGGUCACACUGGGACUGAGACACGGCCCAGACUCCUACGGGAGGCAGCAGUGGGGAAUAUUGCACAAUGGGCGCAAGCCUGAUGCAGCGACGCCGCGUGAGGGAUGGAGGCCUUCGGGUUGUGAACCUCUUUCGCCAGUGAAGCAGGCCUGCCUCUUUUUGUGGGUGGGUUGACGGUAGCUGGAUAAGAAGCGCCGGCUAACUACGU